Long non-coding RNA from Arabidopsis lyrata subsp. lyrata, 651 nucleotides. RefSeq lists it as uncharacterized. The transcript is spliced from 2 exons. The record is from RefSeq and is a predicted model, not a curated record. Lineage: Eukaryota; Viridiplantae; Streptophyta; Magnoliopsida; Brassicales; Brassicaceae.
GCAAUGAGUCACUCUUGAACUGAGCAGAAGCACUUAGAAAUCAGAUCAAAUCCAAACACCCUAAUCUUCCUCACUCGUUUCUUGAUGCCACAAAGAUCCAAUAUGGCAAGGACAUUGGUCAUGCGGUUCUUGAGACAUAUUCCCGAACACUUGCGAAUCUAGCUUUCCGGAUUCUAUCAAGAAUGGGAGAAAUCUUGAAAGAAGAUUCUUUAAGCAACCCUAACUCUCCUGAACCACCGAGUUGCUUUUCUAGCUCCCGUGACCCUUAUAGAACACCCGAGAGGCCUUUGCUUUUGUCCCGUGUAAGGCAUUCUGUAGCCGAUGACAUGAACAAAGCCGAUGGGACAGAGACUGGUUUAGAUUUUUUGUUUGCAGAUGCUAAGGAAAGUUCUGUGAAUACAACUCCAAGUAGAAGCAGUAGAUUGUGGUGUUUGAGUAAAGUGCCUUCUGAUACUUCUUCUUGAUUUAGAGGGUCUUCGUAGUUUGAUGCGUGCCACCUGAAGCUUCUCCUUUACUUUGAGGGUUUUAAAUUAUGAAGCCUAAGAUAUUGUAAAUGUAUUAUUAACAUGGCUUCAUAAUAUACAAUAUCUAGAUCCCUUCGUAUUAUUCAUCAAGAAUUUUAUAGCAAAAUGGCUUCCUAGCCUUCUAAAA